GCCACGGCGCGGUGAAUACGUUCCCGGGCCUUGUACACACCGCCCGUCAAGCCAUGAAAGCCGGGAGUACCUGAAGUGCGUAACCGCAAGGAGCGCCCUAGGGUAACACCGGUAAUUGGGGCUAAGUCGUAACAAGGUAGCCGUACCGGAAGGUGCGGCUGGAACACCUCCUUUCUGGAG
This 180-nucleotide ribosomal RNA is filed under the name Bacteroides caecigallinarum. RNAcentral's name for it is "partial 16S ribosomal RNA". It matches the Rfam family "Bacterial small subunit ribosomal RNA", at positions 1352 to 1533 of the family's 1533-position model. Lineage: Bacteria; Pseudomonadati; Bacteroidota; Bacteroidia; Bacteroidales; Bacteroidaceae. The record is from RNAcentral.